RNAcentral lists this ribosomal RNA (476 nucleotides) under uncultured bacterium. RNAcentral's name for it is "partial 16S ribosomal RNA". It matches the Rfam family "Bacterial small subunit ribosomal RNA", at positions 28 to 507 of the family's 1533-position model. The record is from RNAcentral.
GACGAACGCUGGCGGCGUGCCUAAUACAUGCAAGUUGAGCGCUGAAGGUUGGUCCUUGUCCCGACUGGAUGAGCAGCGAACGGGUGAGUAACGCGUGGGGAAUCUGCCUUUGAGCGGGGGACAACAUUUGGAAACGAAUGCUAAUACCGCAUAAAAACUUUAAACACAAGUUUUAAGUUUGAAAGAUGCAAUUGCAUCACUCAAAGAUGAUCCCGCGUUGUAUUAGCUAGUUGGUGAGGUAAAGGCUCACCAAGGCGAUGAUAGGUAGCCGGCCUGAGAGGGUGACCGGCAACAGUGGGACUGAGAGACGGCCCAGACGGCUACGGGAGGCAGCAGGGGGGAAUAGUGUACAAGGGGAGGAAGCCGGAUGCAGCAACGACGCGGGCGGGAUGACGGCCGUCGGGGGGUAAACCGCGUGAGCCUGUGAAGAAGAGUGAGUGACGGUAAGGGGUAAAGAAGCACCGGCUAACUACGUG